Molecule: non-coding RNA, 1308 nt
Organism: Camellia sinensis
Lineage: Eukaryota; Viridiplantae; Streptophyta; Magnoliopsida; Ericales; Theaceae
Source: RefSeq, a predicted model, not a curated record
GCCGAAGCUGCUCCACAUAUACAGAAAUGAAUGGUCAUGCAUGAAUUUGCAUUAAUUUUUUUUUUUUUGUGGAAGUCCAGAGCCUCUGUAGGUGCUAGGUAUGUAGUGUGUAGUGCAUUUUUGUAGACGAUGUUGUUUUGGUGCAACCAAAAACAAAACACAAAAGCAAAGCUGUGCCCCCCACUCCACGCCCAACAGCUCCUGCCAGCGGCCCUCACAGUCAUCACUGGUGCCAUUCCUACUAGGAUUAUAUUCCUUACUGCCUUAGAGACCACAAAAGCGGCUACUCUCAGGUUGGUUGAGCCAUUCAAAUUGUCCGAACCGACACAGGCAGCCACAGCAAAUGGAGUUGCCGGCAUGGCAGCAGCAGUUUGUUCUCAGGCCAUAUUUGUUCCAAUUGAUGUGGUUAUAUGGUGCAAGGAUAGUCAGGCCAUGCGACCUAUAAUGGGGGACUAGAUGUUGCUCGCAAGGUUUUGAAGGUGGAUGGCAUUCGGGGACUAUACAGGGGGUUCGGUCUAUCGGUCCUGACUUAUUCCCCAUCUAGUGUUGUAUGGUGGGCAAGUUAUGGUUCAAGCCAACGCUUGAUCUGGAGGUCAUGGGACACGAAAAGAAACAUACUGUAAGAGAAGUUGUUAAAGGAUUAGUUGCGGAUGAUGGCUGGAAAGGUUUAUACAGAGGACUCGGUCCAAGGUUUUUCACUAUGUCAGCAUGGGGAACCUUGAUGAUACUUUCCUAUGAAUAUUUGAGUAGGGACUUUUCUUUCACACUGUUAUUAUAUAGCAUCAUAUUUGUUGUUGUUAUUAUUAUGCAGAAUGAUGAGAUUGCUAAAACAUUUGUGGAUUUGAUCAUUGUGAAUUAUUGUAUUGGAAAGUUUAAACCUGUGAGUUACCCUUUGUUCUCUUCUUAUAAUCAUGCUCAAUCAAUUUGAUUAAUAGUGUUUAUUCUUCUUUUUUGUACAGAACGCUUGUGUGUGAAAGAUCAAUAGAUUUUUGGCCUUGAACAACAAAGAAUUGGUUUGCACAGUCAACUGGGAUUUCAUUCGCUAAAGAAGAUAGUUUUGCUUGGUAUUUACAGGAAUGCUUACCCGGGCAUCCACACAUAUAAACUCAACAAAUUGUAACCCUUGUUAAAUUGACUGGGUUACCUUCAUACCUAUUAAAACUGGAUUACUUCCUGAUUUCCUGGAAGGCUUUGUAAGAUCAAUCUUUAAUUCUUUUUAGCUCAUUUCUUAUUGCAUUCUUGGGCUAUAAUUGAACCGAUUUGUAUCUGCAAUUUGUGUAUUCUUAAAUCAUAGAAUUUCAUUAUAUA